This 468-nucleotide ribosomal RNA is filed under the name uncultured bacterium. Its description in RNAcentral is "partial 16S ribosomal RNA". It matches the Rfam family "Bacterial small subunit ribosomal RNA", at positions 28 to 507 of the family's 1533-position model. The record is from RNAcentral.
GACGAACGCUGGCGGCGUGCUUAACACAUGCAAGUCGAACGGAAAGGCCCUGCUUUUGUGGGGUGCUCGAGUGGCGAACGGGUGAGUAACACGUGAGUAACCUGCCCUUGACUUUGGGAUAACUUCAGGAAACUGGGGCUAAUACCGGAUAGGAGCUCCUGCUGCAUGGUGGGGGUUGGAAAGUUUCGGCGGUUGGGGAUGGACUCGCGGCUUAUCAGCUUGUUGGUGGGGUAGUGGCUUACCAAGGCUUUGACGGGUAGCCGGCCUGAGAGGGUGACCGGCCACGUUGGGACUGAGAUACGGCCCAGCCUCCUACGGGAGGCAGCAGUGGGGAAUAGUGCACUAUGGGCGGAAGCCUGAUGCAGCAACGCCGCGUGCGGGAUGACGGCCUUCGGGUUGUAAACCGCUUUCGCCUGUGACGAAGCGUGAGUGACGGUAAUGGGUAAAGAAGCACCGGCUAACUACGUG